This 1172-nucleotide long non-coding RNA is filed under the name Mustela putorius furo (domestic ferret). Its description in RNAcentral is "lncRNA (ENSMPUG00000026493.1)". The record is from RNAcentral. Lineage: Eukaryota; Metazoa; Chordata; Mammalia; Carnivora; Mustelidae.
CCAUGCCUGGAGAUGAUCUUGGGGGAAUCGCAAAACUACGAUGAUCUGGGCCACUUGGCCUGUCCCUCGUGUUUGCAGAACGUUUGGCUGCUUACCGGGCUUCUGGCAAAACCCCCAAGAGCAGUUUGUAAACAGACCGCAAGCAGCGUGGGGAAGGGCUGUGUCACGGGAGCGAGACAGUGGGACGACAAGGGUCCACAUGAAUCUGGGUCAGCCCAGGGGGUGUGCCAGGUGAAGAAGGCCUGUGAGCUCCAGCCCAUGCCCCAGACUGUGCCUCAGGAGGAAUGCAUCCCUAUUUGGGCAGUUUUGGGUGUGGAACUGGCCAGCACCUCCCUAGGAGGGGAUAAAAUUUAUCCCAUUCCAAGUCUGAUAAGCUCUGACCUGCUUGGAAACUGCUUGAAUUCAUCCUCUCCUCCACAGAGGGGUAGAACCUCAUAGAAUCACGGAAGGAGCUGAGAUCUCUUGGGGGCUUCUAAUCCACCUGGAAAAAAUGCAUUCCCAAAUGCCAACAGACCUGCAGAUAUUUGGGGAAUAAACAGCAUAAGCAAGUGAGAAGAUGAACACAGAUGGACGAAUCCUGUGAGGCACGUGGAUCCUGAAUGAGCCUUUUAUUCAUACCCUGGAGGGGGCGGGAGAGGGAACCGUUCCCCAAAACAGAAGCCGGCUGCAAUGAGAAGGGACGAUACAGAUGGCGGUUGGAUGUUUCCUGACGUCAGUGCUGUUCUGGAGAUGGAAGAAAGUCGACACAGGGGCUGAAUGGUCGUGCAGAGAUGGCAUACACCAUAAUGAAUGACGCAGCAGAGAGACAAAUUUGUGUGAUGCGGAACAAGGUACAGAUGUAGACAGAUGAAGACAGCAGCCUUCAGAAAGCCGGAGUGGUGGUGUCUCCCUCGGGUGGCCAUGCACGAGGUUGUCACCUCUGGAGCAGGUGCUGCUGGCAUAGGGCUGGUGGAGACCAGAGAUGUUGGUCAAUGCCCCACGGCUCACAGGACAUCCCAUGUGGUCCAGUCCCAGAUGCCAAGAGUACCAAGGCUGAGAGACUCUGGGUGAGAUCCAACAGAUCCAAUCCACCUUAAUAAAAUGUUUCAAAAAACAGAGUAAAGAGAGACACAAUGACUGGAGAAAACACAGAGAAAUUAUGUCUGCACGCAUCUGUGUGCAUAAUAUUGUAC